Molecule: unclassified non-coding RNA, 430 nt
Filed under: soil metagenome
Description: partial contains 5.8S ribosomal RNA, internal transcribed spacer 2, and large subunit ribosomal RNA
Rfam family: 5.8S ribosomal RNA (bases 1-120)
Source: RNAcentral
GAUGAAGAACGUAGCGAAAUGCGAUACGUAAUGUGAAUUGCAGAAUUCAGUGAAUCAUCGAAUCUUUGAACGCAUAUUGCGCUCUCUGGUAUUCCGGAGAGCAUGCUCGUUUGAGUAUCAGUAAACACCUCAACUCCCUUUUCUUUUUUGAAAUUGGAGCUGGACUUGAGUGAUCCCAACGCUUUCUUCCAAGAAAGUGGCGGGUUGCUUGAAAUGCAGGUGCAGCUGAACUUUUCUCUGAGCUAUAAGCAUAUCUAUUUAGUCUGCCUAAAAAACAGAUUAUUACCUUUGCUGCAGCUAACAUAAAGGAGACUAGUUCUUGUGCUGACUGAUGCAGGAUUCACAGAGACAGCUUCGGCUGACUUUGUAAACUCGAUCUCAAAUCAAGUAAGACUACCCGCUGAACUUAAGCAUAUCAAUAAGCGGAGGA